RNAcentral lists this long non-coding RNA (421 nucleotides) under Salmo salar (Atlantic salmon). RNAcentral describes it as "lncRNA (ENSSSAG00000099122.1)". The record is from RNAcentral. Lineage: Eukaryota; Metazoa; Chordata; Actinopteri; Salmoniformes; Salmonidae.
GAGUGUAGUGGUGUGUGUAGUGUAGUGUAGUGGUGUGUGUAGUGUAUUGUAGUGGUGUGUGUGUUGUAGUGGUGUGUGUAGUGUAGUGUAGUGGUGUGUGUAGUGUAGUGGUGUGUGUAGUGUAGUGGUGUGUGUAGUGUAGUGGUGUGUGUAGUGUAGUGGUGUGUGUAGUGUAGUGGUGUGUGUAGUGUAGUGGUGUGUGUAGUGUAGUGGUGUGUGUAGUGUAGUGGUGUGUGUGGUGUAGUGGUGUGUGUAGUGUAGUGGUGUGUGUAGUGUAGUGGUGUGUGUAGUGUAGUGGUGUGUGUAGUGUAGUGGUGUGUGUGGUGUAGUGGUGUGUGUAUGUGUAGUGGUGUGUGUAGUGUAGUGGUGUGUGUAGUGUAGUGGUGUGUGUAGUGUAGUGGUGUGUGUGGUGUAGUGGUGU